UGAACGCUGGACGGCAUGCCUUACACAUGCAAGUCGAACGCGAAAGGGGGGCAAACUCCUGAGUAGAGUGGCGAACGGGUGAGUAAUACAUCGGUAACUAUAUCCAGUAGCGGGGGUAUAACCUCGAGAAAUUCGAGGCUAAUACCGCAUACGUCCUACGGGAGAAAGCAGGGGACCGCAAGGCCUUGCACUAUUGGAGUGGCCGAUGUCGGAUUAGCUAGUUGGCGGGGUAAAAGCCCACCAAGGCGACGAUCCGUAGCUGGUCUGAGAGGAUGAUCGGCCACACUGGGACUGAGACACGGCCCAGACUCCUACGGGAGGCAGCAGUGGGGAAUUUUGGACAAUGGGCGCAAGCCUGAUCCAGCCAUGCCGCGUGAGUGAAGAAG
This 386-nucleotide ribosomal RNA is filed under the name uncultured bacterium. RNAcentral describes it as "bacterial SSU rRNA". It matches the Rfam family "Bacterial small subunit ribosomal RNA", at positions 30 to 413 of the family's 1533-position model. The record is from RNAcentral.